Numida meleagris (helmeted guineafowl) is the source of this 400-nucleotide long non-coding RNA. Lineage: Eukaryota; Metazoa; Chordata; Aves; Galliformes; Numididae. The record is from Ensembl.
UAUUCCAAGUUUAAUUUUCCUUUAAUUAUUGCAGGUAACAUCACAACAAAAAGAAAGAAAGAAUGGCUGAUCUGAGUUCAAGAUAUGGCUUGGACCACUUUCAGAAAAGAAACAUGAUCUGCACUGAGAGGUUUAUAGAUCCUACAUACCACCUAAGUUUAAAAACAUUUGCCAGAAGAUGUCGCAUUCCAGAAAACUCAUCUAUCAGAGGUUUAUGAUCAUUAUCAGCAAUAAAGAGCGUGUACAACAAGAGUUGAGUCAAGUUUACACAGUUCUAUUCAGACUGAACAUCGCUUGUUGUGGGCUUCCCUGGAGCUUCAGUGAUAUUAUUCUCUUGUUUUUGCUGCUCCACCUCAACUGUUCUGCCAGCUAUCAAUGUGCUCGAAUUGUUACUAUGUGA